Molecule: ribosomal RNA, 253 nt
Filed under: uncultured bacterium
Lineage: Bacteria
Description: partial 16S ribosomal RNA
Rfam family: Bacterial small subunit ribosomal RNA
Source: RNAcentral
UACGGGGGGGGCAAGCGUUGUUCGGAAUUACUGGGCGUAAAGGGCUCGUAGGCGGCCAACUAAGUCGGAUGUGAAAUCCCCAGGCUCAACCUGGGAACUGCAUCCGAUACUGGAUGGCUUGAAUCCGGGAGAGGGAUGCAGAAUUCCUGGUGUAGCGGUGAAAUGCGCAGAUAUCAGGAGGAACACCGGUGGCGAAGGCGGUUCUCUGGGAAUAUCCUGACGCUGAGGAGCGAAAGUGUGGGGAGCGAACAGG